CGUCUAGGCGGUUGGAUAAGUCAUUUGUGAAAUCCCAGGGCUUAACCCUGGAAGGUCUUGUGAUACUGUCCGGCUUGGGUGUAGGAGAGGAGAGCGGAACUCACAGAGUAGCGGUGGAAUGCGUAGAUACUGUGAGGUACCCCGAUGGCGAAGGCAGCUCUCUGGCCUACUACCGACGCUGAAGCGCGAAAGCGUGGGGAGCGAAGG
Molecule: ribosomal RNA, 207 nt
Filed under: uncultured bacterium
Lineage: Bacteria
Description: partial 16S ribosomal RNA
Rfam family: Bacterial small subunit ribosomal RNA
Source: RNAcentral